UCUUCUGAUGAUAUAAUUUGCGAUUGAAUUUGGCACUGGAGACUCUCGCCGGAGUCUCUCAACAGGACCGAAGAAAUGAUAUUCAAUUCUUACAUAUGCUGAAC
This 104-nucleotide small nucleolar RNA is filed under the name Capronia epimyces CBS 606.96. RNAcentral describes it as "A. fumigatus snoRNA Afu_514". It matches the Rfam family "A. fumigatus snoRNA Afu_514". The record is from Rfam by way of RNAcentral. Lineage: Eukaryota; Fungi; Ascomycota; Eurotiomycetes; Chaetothyriales; Herpotrichiellaceae.